Molecule: ribosomal RNA, 492 nt
Filed under: uncultured bacterium
Lineage: Bacteria
Description: partial 16S ribosomal RNA
Rfam family: Bacterial small subunit ribosomal RNA
Source: RNAcentral
AGUGAACGCUGGCGGUAGGCCUAACACAUGCAAGUCGAACGGCAGCACAGUAAGAGCUUGCUCUUACGGGUGGCGAGUGGCGGACGGGUGAGGAAUACAUCGGAAUCUACUUUUUCGUGGGGGAUAACGUAGGGAAACUUACGCUAAUACCGCAUACGACCUACGGGUGAAAGCAGGGGAUCUUCGGACCUUGCGCGAUUGAAUGAGCCGAUGUCGGAUUAGCUAGUUGGCGGGGUAAAGGCCCACCAAGGCGACGAUCCGUAGCUGGUCUGAGAGGAUGAUCAGCCACACUGGAACUGAGACACGGUCCAGACUCCUACGGGAGGCAGCAGUGGGGAAUAUUGGACAAUGGGCGCAAGCCUGAUCCAGCCAUACCGCGUGAGUGAAGAAGGCCUUCGGGUCGUAAAGCCCUUUUGUUGGGAAAGAAAAGCAGCAGGUUAAUCCCCCGCUGUUCUGACGGUACCCAAAGAAUAAGCACCGGCUAACUUCGUG